AUUGUUAACUUGAGAAGAUCGGGGUGCGAGGCCGGAUCGCCAUGCUGGCUGGUCGCAUGUCAGAACAGCUCCUGACAGUUCUGGCCUUUAAUCAACGAUUAAUCGGAAUAAAAUCUCAACCAGGGCAAACAAAUACCGAUUGUAACAACAGUGCUUACCGGAGCUGCAAAUGUGCCCUAAGACAGGUGCUAUGAAACACCAGAAGAAGAAUUGCAGACAUAAGGGCUACUCGGGCUGAGAGUGCAGUGGACGUCCACCGCUCUGCUCUUGUGCCUGAUCGCAUCGGCUCCUAGAACACAUCCUCUCUGGUCCCGUUUCCUCCCCCCCUUUGGACGGAUGGGGGUUAUCCGGGUCCCCACUGGAAGGCUCUGAAGCAAGGAUAAGCGAGGCUUACAGAAAGUGCUCCAGUGCUGUGAUUCCAGGAUGGCCCCUGCAAAGGCCCCUGUGGGAUCGGAUCCCUCUAUCAGCAUGUAGAAUGGCUUCUUCGAGCAACUCCUGAGCUCUGUCCAGGCCCAAGCUGGCCCAACAUUCUGCUUCUGCAAGGAAGGCUUUUUGCCCCACCACAAAGCACAGUCACCAUCUGCGGCUGACUCCCACAUUCACUCACCUAAGCCUCGAGCCUGGUGGAGAAGACCUCCUGAUUUCAGUCCAACACCCUGGAGAGUGCUCUGCUGUUGCUGGGAACACUAUGGGGGCCUCGCCAGGGACACUGAUCACGGCUCAUCGGAGGACUGGAUCCGAGGGCAUUAGAUAACAGAUCGAGUGAAGCUUGGGGCUGGUGGCGCAGAUCCUGUUGAACUUGUAUGUGUGCUGGGACUCUCACCCAAAUCUUAAUAACCGGGGUCGGAGAGGGUUGCGGGGGGGGCGGUCUCUUACGGGGAAGGCAAUGUUUCUGUAAAUGUUCUAUGGUCUUCAUAUGAAUAUCAUAUGAAUUUCACACUUCAUUUUUGGAAUUAUCUACUAAACGUGGUUAGCACCUAGGUGCAAAAGUGCUUUUGUAUAUGAAAAGUGAGUGCCAAGCUUUUGGAGAUAUAUAUAUAUAUAUACACACACACACACACACACACACACACACACACAUAUACAUACAUACAUACAUACAUAUAUAUAUAUAUAUAUAUAUAUAAUGUAUUGGGUCUUCUGCUUCCAAUCACAGGGUGGGCUCAGUAUCUACAAAUAUGAACUUAUGAUGACAAUUGCAUUCACUGUGACAAAAAUUCUUGUUAAAUAUCUAUCUUUAUACUUGUACUAAUGCCCAUCUAGAUGCUAAUUUAUAAUGAUCCAUGGAUAUGGUUUCUUGUAAUCUCUUGUCAUUUUGAUUGUUUUCUUUUAUGUGUUUUUCUUUUUCAAAAUUGCAGGAACUUAUGUAUGUGUUUUUGAUGUAUUCAUGCUUUGCAAUGUG
Molecule: non-coding RNA, 1402 nt
Organism: Pelobates cultripes (western spadefoot toad)
Lineage: Eukaryota; Metazoa; Chordata; Amphibia; Anura; Pelobatidae
Source: the annotation of a GenBank genome assembly